RNAcentral lists this unclassified non-coding RNA (576 nucleotides) under Gastridium phleoides. RNAcentral's name for it is "sequence contains ITS1, 5.8S rRNA gene, ITS2". The record is from RNAcentral. Lineage: Eukaryota; Viridiplantae; Streptophyta; Magnoliopsida; Poales; Poaceae.
GACCGUGCACGCGUCAUCCAGCCUGCCGGCGGCGGAUCCGUUCGUCGUUCGGCCAAGUCCUUGACAACCUCUUCUCUUCGGAGUGGGGGCUCGAGGUAAAAGAACCCACGACGCCUAAGGCGUCAAGGAACACUGUGCCUAGCCCGGGGACGCGGACGGCUUGCUGCCUGCCCCCCGUGCUGCAACGCUAUUUAAUCCACACGACUCUCGGCAACGGAUAUCUCGGCUCUCGCAUCGAUGAARAACGUAGCRAAAUGCGAUACCUGGUGUGAAUUGCARAAUCCCGCGAACCAUCGAGUCUUUGAACGCAAGUUGCGCCCGAGGCCAUUCGGCCGAGGGCACGCCUGCCUGGGCGUCACGCAAAACACGCUCCCACCCCCUCAUUGGGGGACCGGGACGCGGCAUCUGGCCCCCCGUCGCGCAAGGGGCGGUGGGCCGAARAUAUGGCUGCCGGCGCAUCGUGCCGGGCACAGCGCGUGGUGGGCGACCUCGCUUUACUUACCGCAGUGCAUCCGGUGCGUAGCCGGCGUGAUGGCCUUGAAGGACCCUAUGAACGGUGCGCACGACGCUCCGACC